AAAAAUUUAAGGUCUGACCUGCUCCCUGAAUUGUUUUAAAGAGCCGCGGUAUUUUGACCGUGCAAAGGUAGCAUAAUCAUUAGUCCUUUAAUUAGGGGCUGGUAUGAAUGGUUUGACAAGGAAUUUUCUGUCUCUUAAUGAUUUAUAUAAUUUAUCUUUUAAGUUAAAAGACUUAAAUUUUUCUUUAGGACGAGAAGACCCUAUAGAGUUUAAUAUUUUAUUUAUUUUUAAUUUUCUGAUAGUUUAUUUAUUUUUAAUGAUAAUAUUUUGUUGGGGUGAUAUGAAGAAUAAAUAAACUCUUCAUUAUAAAAUCAUUGAUUUAUGUUUAUUUGAUCCAUAUUUUAUGAUCAUAAGAUUAAAUUACCUUAGGGAUAACAGCGUAAUUAUUUUUGAGAGCUCAUAUCGACAAAGUAGAUUGCGACCUCGAUGUUGGAUUAAGAAAAAUUCUAGAUGUAGAAGUUUGGAGAUUAGGUCUGUUCGACCUUU
This 486-nucleotide ribosomal RNA is filed under the name Altiusambilla modicicrus. RNAcentral's name for it is "partial 16S ribosomal RNA". It matches the Rfam family "Bacterial large subunit ribosomal RNA", at positions 1839 to 2589 of the family's 2925-position model. Lineage: Eukaryota; Metazoa; Arthropoda; Insecta; Orthoptera; Lentulidae. The record is from RNAcentral.